GACGCUUAACGACUGAGCCACCCAGGCGCCCCUGAAAUAAUAAUUUUAAGUUCUAUGUACGGUAUGUUCCAGACCCUGUUCUAAUCACUUCACAUGUGUUAUCUCAUUACCUUGUAAGAAAAAUUCUGAUAUGUAUUAAGUUUAUCUGAGGAGGGAACUGGUGUACGUAGAGAUUAAAUGACUUGCCCAAGAUAACACAUUUAGUAACUGGUGAAGCUGGAAGAUGAAGAGUCCGGUACCAGAGCCUGUGCUUGCAACCACUAUAUUUGUAUGACUACCUCAAUAGUGGUGAGUGUGUUGUGGGAAAGUACUGGAAUAAAAAUAAAGCAAAUGGUUCUGAUCCCUGCACUGCAUGUAAGAAGGUCUCAGUACUUGGUGAACUCUUCAGCCUUUUCUUUCAAGAGACAUUGGCCCAAUCAAAGUGCUCAUUUUAUUUAUUGUUUCAUUCACUCAACAAAUGUUUCUGGAGCACUACCAAUUCAUAUGACUCUAUAUUGGAUUUUAGGAAUAUAAAGACAGGUGAGAUUCAGUCCCAUUCCUCUAACGGUUCACACUCUAGCGUGGAGACAGCAGGUGCUGUAAGUGGUGUCAUAGAGGUAGAAGUUACAUGUUACAGUCUGGGAGCACAGAGAAGGGGUACUUAAUUAAGAAUUCGAGAAAAGUCUAGAAAAGACUCUGGAGGGGAUGAAAUAUGAGGUGAAGCUUCACAGAUGCAAUGAGUUGAAGAUGGACUGGAAUGGAAGAUGGGAGAAAAGAGAUACUUGAAUGUGAGUUCGAUUAAUGGACCUCGCAGGAAACGGAAGCCAUUCAUAGGAUGGCUGAAUUAUCUCCAAGCUUAAAAUUCUUUAGAGAGUUUUUAUUUUUAUUAUGUAUUUAUUUAGAAAGAUGACUUUAUUUUAAAAUAUAGAGAGAAGCAAAACAGGAAACCUGGAGACAAGGGUAAAGAAUAAGAAGGAGCAGCCAGCAAAUUAUGAGGAAAAUGAACAAACAAAAAUGGGUCAGGGCAAGGGAGGAGAGUUUCAAAUAAAAGGUUGAUGACAGCAGUGUCAUACAGAGAUCAGUUGGGAAUUUCUAUGUUCUAGGCAUGUUACAGGCUCCUUAUGUGUACUAACUCAGUCAUUCAAGAACGUUUUGCUGUUUAAUCCUCACAACAGCCCCAUCUUAUGGAUGAGGGAAAUGAAGUACAAGGAAGUUAAGUGUUUCGUGCAAGAUCAUGCUGCUGGUCACACAAAAGUUGGGAAGAGAAAGAUGGAUGUCAACUAGCCUAUGUCCCAGUCUGGGCUGAGGAGGAGCAAAGAGCUGCCUAAAGAAACGAGUAGCUGGGACAAACCGCAGAGGUCAAGAUGGCCACUGGCCAAUGGAACCGGCUGCCUGGGUCCACACCCACCAGCCACCCUCACGAGCACCACCGAGGUGCCGCGAGGACAGCAGAGCUGCCGGCCCCAAGCAUUACAACUUCUGGAAUGGAGACGCAGGAGCUCACUCUUCAGACAUGGUCUUGAUGAUGCCUUUGUGCUCCUUUGUGGCCUCCCAGUUCCUGCCGUUCAAUCCCUCAGCGACCACACUCCACCCAGUGCCCUCCUCCAGGCAGUGUGGGGCCAAUCCAGAGCCUCCAGGGUAUGAGCGGGGCGUGCAGAGGCGCUGGAUGCCCCCGCUCUUACAGAAGGUGAUGAGAGAAAAACUCUCUGAAGACCUCAUACACAGGGGAAGCCGUUUGGAAAUUCUUUCUAAGAUAGCAUGACCAUACAUAAACUUUGCUCAAACCAAAAGCCUAGUGUAUGGUGCACCACGAAUACACUGUACGUCCGCUUUGUAAAUGAGUAGUCUAAAGGAAAGCCAGCCUGUCCUUGAGCCAUCGGUGGAUGUUCCUACUCCCGACAUUCCUUUGUGAAAAAGCUCAUUCCUGCCUGUAUGCCAAUCUGUAGUCUUUUGAGCUCUUACAAGGUAUAAAAAAGUAUAUGACCCUGUAAAAACCGCUCCUUCUCCAGAACACUUUCUUCCCUGUGAAGAGCGCGUUUCCUGGCAGCCGGCCUAAGUUGGGCUCAAAUAAAAUUCUUUUUUUCUUACUUCU
Non-coding RNA from Callorhinus ursinus (northern fur seal), 2071 nucleotides. The record is from RefSeq and is a predicted model, not a curated record. NCBI's taxonomy places the organism in Eukaryota, Metazoa, Chordata, Mammalia, Carnivora, Otariidae.